GAAAGAACAAAUAAGUACGGGGCAACCACGAUCUUUAUAAAGAACAUAAGUUCCAGGAAAGCAGGAACCUUGUCACUCUUGUUCACUGGGUGUAUCCUCUGCAUAUAGAACAGUGCCUGGCACAUAAUAGGUGCUGAGUGUACUAUUUAGACUUCCUAGGAGAGAUGGCCAGGUACAGUGGAGUUACCAGCUACUUGCACACCCAAGCCUGCGGAUCAAGAGAAGCCUCACAGAGACACCCCCAACUGAGGAAACUCACAGAGCUUAAGUGGAGCUGGGACUCCAGCUGGGGCACCUGCCUCACUAUGACAUAUUCUAUUUUCUUUGGACAAAAAAAAAAAAAAAAAUACUGACUAAAGCAGAGUCACCCCUGGGAAGCCUGGGAAAGAUCUCACUUGUUCAAAAGUUCAAUUCUGAAUUACUGCCUUACAGAUAAACCAAAGCAUUUUGAAAAGUAAAGGGGAGAAAGGAAAUUAUUCCUCAGCACUCUCAGGUAUCUAGAAGAUGCCUAAGAAGUUGGGAGUCAGCUGUUUCUUGUGUGCAGCCAUGAAGUCUGUGCACUCUGUUCCCCAGAACACAGUUUGUAGCAUCAUGACUUUUUACCCAACCAUGGAAGAAUUUACAGAUUUCAACAAAUAUGUUGCUCACAUGGAGUCCCAAGGCGCACACCAAGCUGGCCUCGCCAAGGUAAUUCCACCCAAGGAAUGGAAAGCCAGAAAGACUUACGAUGGUAUUGAAGACAUCUUGGUCGCCACUCCCCUCCAGCAGGUGACCUCUGGGCAGGGAGGUGUGUUUACUCAAUACCAUAAAAAGAAGAAAGCCAUGACAGUCGGGAAUUAUCGCCAUUUGGCAAACAGUAAGAAAUAUCAGACUCCACCACACCGGAAUUUCGACGAUCUGGAGCAACAAUACUGGAAGAGCCACCCCGGUGAUUCACCAAUUUAUGGUGCUGAUAUUAGUGGCUCCUUAUUUGAAGAAAACACUACACAGUGGAACCUAGGACACCUGGGAACAAUUCUGGACCUGUUGGAGCAGGAAUGUGGGGUGGUCAUCGAGGGCAUCAACACCCCCUACCUGUACUUUGGCAUGUGGAAGACCACAUUUGCUUGGCACACGGAGGACAUGGACCUUUACAGCAUCAACUACCUGCACUUUGGGGAGCCCAAAACGUGGUACGCAGUGCCCCCAGAACAUGGCCAGCGCCUGGAAUGCCUGGCCAGCGAGCUUUUCCCAACAAUUUCCCAGGGCUGUGAGGCCUUCCUGCGGCACAAGGUGGCCCUCAUCUCUCCUACAGUUCUCAAAGAGAACGAGAUUCCCUUCAAUUGCAUGACUCAGGAGGCUGGGAGUUCAUUGUGACCUUUCCCUAUUGCUAUCAUGCGGGCUUCAACCAUGGCUUCAACUGUGCAGAGGCCAUCAAUUUUGCCACUCCACGAUGGAUUGAUUAUGGCAAAGUGGCUUCACAGUGUAGCUGUGGGGAGGCGAGGGUGACCUUUUCCAUGGACGCCUUCAUGCGCAUCUUGCAACCAGAGAGCUAUGGGCUCUGAAAAUGCAGGUAAGUUUCAGCCCUUGUGGAUCACAUGGAGGCCAAGGUUGCAGAAAGCCAGGAGGAGAGCACCUGGAGGGAGGACAUAGCACUUAGGAGAGCUGCUCUGGGCCUGAGGCAUCUCCUGAACCACAUGCCAGCUGUUCCACACAGACUGUGCCCACAGGGCUCUGUUAUAACCCAAAGGGCCUUGGCACUGAUGCUGUGCCUGAAUUUACAAUACAAACCAUGGGGACGUCAGCCUAGGUUCUUCACCCUUCCACUGUAAGGUGGGAUCCUUUUUGUGGCUGUGGUCCUGGUUGAGGUCGUGGUCGUGGUCAGGGUCAUGCUUGCCAUCCUCAAAAACUGGGGACUGAGGAGACAACUAUUCAGUCUGCAGCCAAGAGACACCUCUCAUUGGGACAGGGAGUGGAGCUCGAGGCCUCAAGCCUCAGCUCCAGUUCACCAAUGACACUUUGAAGGACAAACCUGCACCUUUGAGCAGUGGCCUUCAGCACCCAUGGUGAACCUGGCCAAGGUUGCAACAAUGGACCACUCUUAUGCCUCUAGGGUUCUGGUCUCAACUAAGUUUUCCAGAACCUUCUGUUUCUCAGACUCAUCUGCUGGGGCUUAAGCCAGACCGAGAUAUGCCACUGAAUUUGGAGACAUUUUCCUCCAAAGCAUGAUCAGUCCUCUGAACCCAUGGCUAUUGAAUAUGGUGCCAAAUGUCAAGGGAUACCUUCCUCUUAUCCCAACCCCAGGAACCAGAGAAAAUUCUUGCCAAGGAGAAUUCUGGCCUGGGCCUCUCCCCAAUGAAGAUUCUUUCCUUCUAAUAACUGACACAUUUCAAGACCCCCAGAGCCCUACUGUGACAGCCAGGGCUCCCAGCGGCCACUGAAGUCCCCUCCCCAAAGGUUGCCAUAGGUUUUUGUAGUACCUCUCAAGGACCCUCUGUCUACUCCUAAUCAUUGUGCCUGUGACCUUCACCAUGGCCCAGAUGCCAUGAACAGCACUUGUUGCUGAUGUCCCCUCAGGAUACCUCCCUUACUGUGCUGUGGGUCCAGAUCCCAUGCACAUGCGCAAACUAGACCUUUAGACCAACUGAGUCUAUUAGCCAGUCGUGGCCUCAGAGAUAUUUUUAAUGUUGUUGAUGUUCAUUAAAUUUUCUAUCUCUAGUGUAUAUCUGUAAAGAACAUUUUUACUACAUGUUCUUAAAAUUAGAAUUAUAUAAAAGAGAUAUAUCAAAAAGAAAGUGAUGUGGAAAAAUGAGAUAAAGGAAUGAGCAAAAUAAUAGCAAGCAAAGAAUUAACAUAAAAGUAGAGUCACAGACUUUAAUAUCAGGCAAACCUGGAUUGAGACCAAAGGUAUAUAGCGUGUAUCUUUACAAUGCAAAAGAUGAAAUUUCACAAUGAAAUUAUAACAGUCAUAAAUAUUCAAGUAAGUUUAACAAAGUAUAAAUUAUAGUAGAUAAAAGACAAGUUUAAAGAAACAGAUUAAAAAUAGGAACAUUUAAGUCACCAAUAUGAUUUGGUUAUGUGUUCUUGCUUAAAUCUCAUGUGGAAUUUUAAUCCCUAAUGUUGGAGGUGGGGCCUGGUGGGAGAUCACUGAAUCACAGGGGUGGUUUCUUAAGAAUGGUUUAGCACUAUUCCCAUAGUGCUGUUGUUGUGAGAGAGUUCUCAGAAGAUCUGGUUGUUUAAAAGUGUGUGGCACCUGCACCCUCUCUGAAAUUCUCCUGCUCCAGCCAGGUAAGACGUGCCUGCUUCUCCUUUGCCUCUUGCCAUGAUUGUAAGUGUCCUGAGGCCUCCCCUGAAGCAGAAACUCGUAUGCUUUCUGUACAGCCUGCAGAACCAUGAGCCAAUUAAACCUAUUUUGUUUUAAAUUAUCCAAUCUCAGGUAUUUAUUUAUGUGAGCAAUGUGAGGAUGGACUAUUACAGUCACCUUACUCAUCCAAUCCAAGGAGAAAAGAAAUGGAGAAAUCUAAGAAGGAUAUGGAAAACUCAAACUACAUUAACAAUAAGGUAGAAUUGGUAUUCCAGAAGAUAGAAAAUACUCCCUCUCAGCUGGGCGCAGUGGCUCACUCCUGUAAUCCCAGCACUUUGGGAGAUGAAGGUGGGCAGAUCACAAGGUCAGGAGUUCGAGACCAGCCUGGCCAAUAUGGUGAAACCGCAUCUCUACUAAAAAUAGAAAAGUUAGCUGAACAUGGUGGUAUGCACCUAUAGUUCCAGCUACUGAGGAGGCUGAGCAGAAGAAUCGCUUGAACUGGAGAGGCAGAGGUUGCAGUGAACCGAGAUCACACCACUGCACUCUAGCCUGGGCCACAGAGUGAGACUCCAUCUGAAAAAAAAAAAAAAAUACAAAAAACUCCCUCUCUUCAGGUGCCAAAGAAUGAAUCACAAAAUAUGACCAUAUAUUAGGGUGAGUAGAAAAUAUCAAUAUUUUCUUUAAAAAUAAGUUAAAAAUUAAGCAUUCUGAAUUAUCAUGCAUUCAGACUAGAAAUAUUUUUACAGCCAAAAAAAUGUGCGGGUCUUUUUCUUUGCAGGUUAAACACUUUUUUAUUGAAUGAACCUCAGAUCUCAGUGAAACACAAUCCAAAAAAGCCAAAUUUCCACAAAACAAUAAAUAUCUAUUUCAUGCAUAAACGUUGGAGCAAGAAAGCCUGAUUUUGAUUUCCUGUUUCUUUUACCAGCUUGUAUGACCUUGAAAAUUCAUUAACUUUAUGAUAUGUUUCCUCAAUGUAAAAUGGAGGUAUCAUCUACCUCAUGUGUUUAGUUGACAGUUCUAUUUAGUUAAUAUGUGCAAUUUGUUAAUAACAAUGCUUGGGACACAAUAAGGAUUACAGGAGUGUUCUUAGGUUUAAAAUUUAAUAAAAUACAUAAAGGAAUAUAUGAGAUUCAUUUACAGUAGUGCUGAGGACAAUUUGCAGCUUUAAGUAUUUUCUCCAUCACAUCCAAAGAAUGAAAUUAACUGCAUUAAGCUUCUGAUUGAUGUGUGAGUUAGGAAAGGAUAGUCUGAAGGUAGCAAGGAGGAAUUGAUACACAUAUACACAGAAAUUAAUGAGUUAGAAUAAAUGUAAAAUAAUAUACUAAAUCAACAAAAACUCCAAUGAUACGGAUUUUUUGAAAAAUUAACUUACUAAAUAGAAAAUUUAAGACAUAAAUUUCUGUGUAUGAGAUACAGAAAGAUCAUGGAAGAUCUACCCAUUCAAAAAUGACAAGGAUUAGACAAUUUUAUAUAUACAAAAGUAUAUAUAGGCCUUUAAAAUGAGGAAAAACUUUAAUGUUUUAAGAUAAGCACAUUUUGUUUUGUUUUGUCGUUUUUGUUUUUUGUUUUGAGACAGAGUUUCACUCUUGUUACCCAGGCUGGAGUGCAAUGGCAUGAUCUCGGCUCACCACAACCUCCGCCUUCUGGGUUCAAGCAAUUCUCCUGCCUCAGCCUCCUGAGUAGCUGGGACUACAGACACGUGCCACCAUGCCCAGCUUAUUUUUGUAUUUUUAGUAGAGACGGGGUUUCACCUUGUUGACCAGGAUGGUCUCGAUCUCUUGACUUCGUGAUCCACCCGCCUCGGCCUCCCAAAGUGCUGGGAUUAUAUGCAUAAGCCACCGCGCCUGGCCAAAAUAAGCACAUUAUUGAUAGAAAAUCCUUAUGAAUUCCAUGCAGAAUGAGAGGAAAUGACGGCCAAAACUGAUUUAUGAACAUCAAUGUAAAAACUUUAACUUAAAUAUUAGCUAAGAUAAUUUAAGUACAUUAAAAGAAUAGAAUUAUAUGAUCACAUUUAUAGUUGGUGAUAGGCCUUUGAUAAAAUUCAAGUCAGUGUUGUUUUAUAUACACCCAUAAGGAAGCAAUUAAUUCUUUCUUAAAAUAAAUACAAGACCAGGCAUGUUGGCUCAUGCCUGUAAUCCUAGCACUUUGGAAAGCUGAGACUAGCGGAUCACCUAAAUUCAGGAGUUCAAGAUAAGCCUGGCCAACAUGGCAAAACCCCAUCUCUACUAAAAAAAUACAAAACUUAGGUGGCACAUGCCUGUAAUCCCAGCUAGUUGGGAGGCUGAGGCAGAAUAGCUUGAACCUGGGAGAUGGAGGUUGCAGUGAGCCCAGAUCACGCCACUGCACUCCAGCCUGGGUGACAGAGCAAGACUUCAUCUCAAAAUAAAUAAAUAAAUAUAAAAAAUAAAUAAAACACAAAAUUUGUCUAUCUAUUAGUGAGAUACUUUAACUCCAAGCCACCAUUUUCAUGAAUGUGACAUAUUUGAUGCACUUCAGCCAAUAAUUUAUAAAAUUAGCACUAUUAACCACUGAAAAUAUUUUUAGAACUAUAAUUGGUGAAAGCAAAGGGACAAAAUUUAUUUUGUUGUGGUUACAGUUGAUAAGGCUGAAUGUGGGGAAAACUCGAGGAGGAGGCUAAACUUCUAGAUGGUUUCUUAAUGGCUACCAUGCUCGCUUCAACCAUGGCUUCAGCUUCCAGGAGGUCAGGAAUUUUGCUACCAUUGAUAGAUAAAUUCAGGCAAAGUGGUGUCUCAGUGCAGUGGCAGGCAAACCACUAUGGGCAUCCUGUAACCCAAGUGCUCUGAGCUGUAGAAACACAGGCAAGCUGGGUCAUGUGCAGACCACGUGGAGUCCAGGGUACAUGCCAGCCUGGAGAGGCCCACCUGGAUGAUCCAAGUGCACAAGAAGGCUACCUAGCUGAGACACCACCUGGAUCACCAGGGUAGUGACCCAUUUAGCCCAUGACCUCAUCCUGUGGUACCUGUUGCCUCACCCUUGUGCCCAGUGUUUCCAUGGUCCAUCUAGCCUGCAGUGAUACUUCCUAGCCCAGGACCUUAGCCUGGACCCACUGCUCACCCCAGCUCCAUCAACCCUGGUCUGAACCCCUCAACUGACAGAUAUGGUUUUGGUCAUUGCCUUCUGUAACUAGGGUCUAAAAGCUAAUAUUCCAGGCUCCAGCCAGGAGGUGCCUGUUGAUGGUCACAGUUCACAUAGCUUCAGACCCUAUGCAUCAGCCCCUGAGCCUCAGCCCCCUGCACAAAGAUGGAGCAUUGAUGGACAGGCCUGCACCUCUGAGUCCAGGAUCCAGCAUCCUGCCAAGGAUUCCAGGAGCUGCUGGGCACCCCUCCUGAGCCCAUGAUCAGCUUUUCUAUCUUGCUACUUUGCUCUGUGGUGGCUUCUUGAUAUUGCUCAAAUUUACAUCUCAGAAUUUUGAGCAAAUUUGCAGACCACCACAGUCACAGAACCUCUUGGUGCUAUAGCCUCUCUGAUGAGAGCUCUGGGCGUUGCUGAGUCCAAGGUAGUUACCGAAUUCACCAUAUAUUCUUUAUUCUCUCAGACCUUGUAAUAAUUUGACACUUCUACUUCUGUGUCACCAGCUGAGAUUUCAUCCACUGGAGAUGCGUGUCUCUGCAAAAGAGGUCUUCCUGAGUUUGUUAAGCACUCAUCUAUCCCAGUGCCCCAAUUGCUGGAACAACUAUGGAGGCUGCUGCGCUUCUGAAGAAUUCACAAUGUGAUUCCCCUUCAAUCUUCUUUCCUUACCUCACCCCACUCCAACACUCCCUUUCUAGCAAAACUAGCUUCUAAUGACCGAUUAGAUCAAUAGAGUCAGAAAAAAAGUAUCAUCUUUCUGACAGGUAUUUAAAAUGUGAUGUCACCAGUAUUUGUUCACAAAUGAAUUAAAAGUCACCAAAAUGUAAAAUCACACUUUCUUCCUAAUAUCGUAGUUUCGAACAACUUGGAAAGAAGAUUAUUCUCCAUGCAUUUUCCUCAUAAUUAGUUGAAAACAUUUAAGGCAAAGCAUAUUUUUUGGGCUCCUUACAUUUUGUGGUGAUGAGUGAGCUCAGGGCAUGGUUGUGGGCUUCUGGCUGUCUGGCCGGGUGGGAGCACUGGGUUGCAGUCAUACUUUGAGGAUGGCUUUAGGCCCAGCCUGGUGCUCAACUGAAUAGCAGGCCCAAAUUGCUGGGAAAGAUGAGUAAUCCUAGGAUAAAAGUGCCAUCAUCUGACUAUCUUCUCUCCCGGGCUCCACCGCCUUUUCAAAGUUGUGUGUAUUUCACACUGGUAACUUUCACUCAGCCCAAUAUUGUCCCCAAGCAAGUGAACAAGGCUUCAAUUAGGAAUGUAUGCUGUAUAGAAACUACAGAGGGAUUAGAUGACAGAGCAGAAUGGGCUGGCGCUGGCUGAGCAUCUGGUCUCAGAAGGAUUCACAAAGCAGGAGACCUUUUGGGGACCCAGUUACAAAAUGGGAAGGUGUGGAGCAGAAUUCUCCCCUUGCAGGGACCAGCAAGUACAACAGACCUAACACAGAACUUGGUGAGUUUGUGUUUCCAGGAAUACAAAAGAAGCUUAUUUGGGUCUGGGACAUAGAGUGGAAGGGAGAGAGACUGAGGGUAGAGCAUAGAGGGCCUUGUGUCUCAUGUCAGGUGCAUUAUGUGAUGUUCCUUCAACUUGAAAUGAAAAGGUCUUAGAGCUUAAAACAGCAGUGGAGAAGAUGUGACACAUACACUUAAAUAAUCAGCUUAGUUGUUUUGUGGAGAAUGUGUGAGUAGGAGAAGCAAUUAGAUUAUUUAUAAUACAAGUGAGAGUGACAGUUGCUUAGACUUAAUUGUUAGUAUUGCAAAUGCACAGAAAUGGAAAAAUUCAGAAUAUAUUAUUAACAUUGAAAAUGAUAGUUUUGAUGAAGAAGGAAACAUUCAGAGAAGCAAACCAUUCACCACCUUAGUACCAAUCUUCAUUAGCAUCCCCUGUCCUGUCCAGAAUUUCAGGAAAGCUGUAAAUUUUGAAGCAUGAAUAAUCAAAACUUGAUACAUGUCUAAAAUUCUCAAUAAAGCACAGAAAAACUCUUAUCUUCCUGUCUUUCCCAUUCAUUCAGGCAACUUUGCCUUUCUUAACGUAACAAGAAGUUUAUUCUUUGGAAAAUUCAAGCUCAGAGACUGAAUGCAAGGUCUCCAGGCACAGAAAAAAAUCGAGGGAGAUGCCUGGCUGAAAAGGGGUUUAAGCUAAUUCUGACAAGGUGGAACCAAAGAUGAAUGUGCACUGCAUUUACUGGAAGGGAGUAGCCCUAGAGGACUGCUGAGCCCUCAGUACAUCUUACAUGAACAAGGAAUAAACUUUUAUGUGAUAGGUAAAAGUCUCAUUGUCCCUGAACUGCAGUAGGUAGACAGCUUUCAACUGCAGAGAGCUGCCUCACCCAAGGCCAUGCCUCUUCUCAAUUUGGCCCACAUCCCAUGACUGCUCACUACUGGAGCAUAAAGCUUGGCCAUCUCUGCUCAACUUAGCACAUACCUGAAGGGACGUUUGAGCUCUAGAUCUCCCUGCAGGAUCCUCUGAAAGUAUCUUGGCCUAAUUCACAGCUCCAAUUUUCCCUGUGCUCAAACCUACUUCCUUUUCCUUUUCUCAGAUAUGGAUCCCAAGCACACUCUUAAAGCAAGAUAUCAAUACCGAAAUCUCAGAGUCUGUUCCAUAAUGAACCUGACCUAUGACUUUACUUCAGAUUUUAUUUUGUUUCAAAAUCCUAAUUUCCUUGAGAGAAUAAAGAGUGGUCACCCCUACUAAAAUUAUAGUUCUUUGCAUGGUUAUUCAGUGAUGUGAGGAGAUAGAAAUGGCCAGAUGAGAAUUUCAGCUUUUAAUUUAUAGAAUUAUUGUUGUGGCCACUGGUCAAAAGAUGUCUUUUCGAAUAUCAGAAGUCACAAGGAUAAGAAGCAAAUACCUUGACACUGGCAUGAUGGACCAAUCCGUUUUAUUCCUGGACUUAAUAGAACCAUGUACUCUGGCUCUGAGCUGAACUGUACCAUGUUCAGAGCAAAUUACUCUCACAUCAUUGCUUGUGGGAAUGUAACAUUAUAUAGCUCCUUUGAAAAACUGUUUGUCAAAGUUCUGUAAACUUGAGCACUCAUCUAUCCAUAGCUAUUUUCUUCCUAGGUAUUUACCCAAUCAAUAAAAACCAGGAACUGUGAAUAAUCCUCAUGUCUGAGCAGAUGAGUGGAAAAACUAUAGCUUAUUAAAAUAUUAUUCAGUUAUGAAAAGAAUUGAACUAGGAAAGGAAAGAUUCAAUUUAUAUUCACUCCAAAAAAAAAAAAAAAAAAAGGCCAACUUAGAUCGUGGUUGGCUCUAGUAGGGGUGGGAAUUCACUGGAAAGUUCCAGGCAUAAAAGAAUGUCAGGGCAUAUAGGAAUGUUCUGCAUCACAUUUAGAGUGAUGAUUACUCUAAAUGAGAUGCAGAAUACCAUUGUUAAAACUGGAGGAAUUGGCAGAGCAAGAUGAUAUAACAGAAGGUUCUGCAUCAGAUUUAGUCUGCCUUAUUACCAAAUAGAUAUUAAUAGGACAUUUCAACUAACAGCUGUAAAAUGCACAUUCUUUACUCAGUACAUAGAUCAUUCUCAAGAACAGACCAUAUUUUAGGUCACAAAAUACAUCACAAAAGCAUACAAAAAAAUUCGUAUAAUACCAAUGAUCUUCUCUGGCCACAGUGGAAAAAAACUAGAAAUAAGUAACAAGAGGAAUUUUGGAAAUGAUACAAACACGUGGAAAUUAACCUAUGUGCUCCUGAAUGUCUAGUGGGUUAGUGAAGAAGUUAAGAAGGAAACUGAAGAAUUUUCUGAAACAAAUUUUAAUGGAAACACCAUAUACUAAAACCUAUAGGAUACAGUAAAAGCAGUACUAACAUGGAAGUUUAGAUUUAUAAGAGCCUAAAUAAAAAACAGAAAAAACUUCAAAUGAGCAACAUAAUGAUGCAUCCUAAAGAAGUAGAAAGGCAAAAACAAACACAAUCCAAAAUUAGUAGAAAAUAAGAAAUAAAGAUCAGAGCAGAAAUUAAUGAAAUUGAAAUGAGUAAAACAAUGCAAAAGAUCGAUGAAACAAAAAAUCAUGGUUUUAAAAGUUAAACGAAAUUGACAAACCUUUAGCCAGACUAAGAAAAAAAGGCAGAAGAUCCAAAUUAAUAAAAUCAGAAAUGAAAAAGGAGGCAUUGCAACAGAUACUGCAGAAAUUCAACGUAUUAGUGACUAUUAUGAGCAACUAUAUGGCAAUACAUUUGAAAAGCUAGAAGACAUGCACAUCACUAGACACAUACAACAUACCAAGAGUGAACCAGGAAAAAACCCAAAACCCAAAAAGACCAAUAACAAAUAAUGAGGUCAAAGCUGUAAUAAAAAGUCUCCCAGUCAAGUAAGGCGGAGGACGCAAUGGCUUCAUUGCUGAAUUCCAUCAAACAUUUGAAGAACUCAUAUCAAUUCUACUCAAGCUAUUCUAAAAAGUAGAGGAAGAGGAAUUACUUCCAAACUCAUUCUAUAUGGACAGUAUUACCUUGAUAACAAAACCAGACAAAAACACAUAAAUAAAGAAAACUCCAGCCCAAUAUCUCUGAUGAAUACUGAUGCAAAAAUACCCAACAAAAUAGUAGGAAACAGAACUCAAGAAUCCAUUAGAAAGAUCAUUCAUCAUGAUCAAGUGGGAUUUAUCCCUGGGAUGCAAGGAUGUUUCAACAUGUGUAAAUCAAUCAAUGUUAUACAUCACAUCAAUAGAAUGAAGGAUAAAAACCUUUAGAUUAUCUCAACUAAUGAUGAAAAAGCAUUUUAUAAAAUUCAACAUGCCUUCAUGAUGAAAACCCUCUAAAAUCUGGGUAUAGAAGGAAAAUAAUAGUGAAAGCCAUAUGACAGACCCUAAGCUAGUAUCAUACUGAAUGGGGCAAAGCUGAAUGGCUUCCCUGUAAGAUGUGAAACAUGACAAAGAUGUCCACUUUCACUACUCUUAUGCAAUAUAGUAGUGGAAGUCCUACCUAGAGCAAGAGAAAGAAAUACAGGGCAUCCAAACUGGAGAGGAAGAAGUCAAAUUAUCCUGGUUUGCAAUGACAUAAUCUUAUACCUGAAUAAAACUAAAGACUCCACCAAAAGACUAUUGGAACUGAUUAAACAAAUUCAGUAAUGUUGCAGGAUACAAUAUUCACAUGUAAAAAUAAGUAGUAGCAUUUUCAUAUGCCAACAGUGAACAAUCUGAAAAAGAAAUCACAAAAGUAAUCUCAUUCACAAUAGCCACAAAUAAAAUUAAAUACUAGAAAUUAACCAAAGAAGUGAAAGAUUUCCAUAACAAAAACAGAAAAUACCAGUGAAAGAAAUUGAAGAGGACACACACGCACACACACACACACACACACACACACAAAGAUAUUCCAAGUUCAAGGAUUGGAAGAAAUCAUUUUGUUCAAGUGUCUAUACUAUCCCAAGAAAUCUAAAGAUUCAAUGCAAUCCCUAUCAAAAUACCCAUGAUAUUCUUCACAGAAAUAUAAAAAAAAAUUCCUUAAAUUUGUAUGGACUCACAGGAGACCCAGGAUAGCCAACCUGUCUUAAGCAAAAUGGCAAUACGGGAGGAAUCACAUUACUUGACUUCAAAUUAUACAACAGAGCUAUUGUAACCAAAAGAGCAGGUACUGGCAUAAAAAUAGAUAUAUAAACCAAUGGAACAGAAUAGAGAACCCAGAAACAAAUUCAAAUACCUACAGUGAACUCAUUUUCCACAGAGGUGCCUAGAACACCUCUGUAUUGGGGAAAAGACAGUCUCUUCAAUAAAUGGUGCUGGGAAAACUGGAUAUCCAUAUGCAGAAGAAUGAAUCUAUACUACUAUCUCUCACCAUAUUAAAAAAUCAAAUCAAAAUAGUUUAAAGACAUAAAUCUAAGACUUCAAACUAUAAAAGCACUACAAGAAAACACUGGGGAAAACUCUCUAAGACACUGGUCUAGGAAAACAUCUCUUGAGCAACAGCCCACAAACACAGGGGACCCUGUGUAAGUAAGAAAUGGACAGAAUCGGAGGGGAUUCAAGAUGUCGCUGUGAGAACAACCCAGGAUUGGAGCCCGCGUUGAAUUCGCAAACGGUGAGUCAGUGCUGCAUUUCCAGACUGAUCUUUGUUGCCCACAGAACGGGGAAACUCCCAAAUAUAAAAAGACACGGGACGCCAGGCAGUAGGUCUGCCUGGCGAAGCCGGCAGCCGGGGCGGCGGCAGCCGGCCCUACCCAGCAAUCCCCACAGGGCGCGCUUGUCCGGGUGCCUUGUUGAACCGGCAACCUGAGACUUGAGAGGGCUGGACUUGAGACUGAACGAGACUUGCACAGUAGCCCAGACCAGGGGAUUGCAGGGACAGAUCGUUUGGGAUACCCAGUGGGACGAACAAAACCGCGAUUUCAAACUAUCCCGGGCAGACGGUCCGAGACGCUCUGUGGGGGAGGGGCGUCCACCACUACGGAGGCAACCUGCCCCAACUGAUAUACACGCCCACUGCUGAGGCAGCCAGCCGUUGCCGAGGCAACCCGCCCCAACUGAGAUACACGCCCACUGCUGACGCAGCCUGCCGUUGCUGAGGCAACACGCUACAACGAAGAGACUCCGCCGCAGGGCGUGGCGGAGACCACAGCAGAGCCGGCAGGAACAGCGCGAAUCACACAACAGCAGGGCGGAGCCUCGGCAGCCAAACAGUGGCUAAUCUGCCUUUGAGCUGGGCAGGACACCUGAUCCGACAUCCAAAAAUAAAGCCCAAACCCCUCAACACAGAGCAUUUGUGAAAAAAAAAGGGUUGUUUAAUGAGCUGUGUUGCAGCAGAAUCAAACAUAGCAGCCUAACAGCCCUGAAUGAACAACAGAGUGCACAGCUCAGCAAUUAAACCCCUAUAAAGUACAAACUGUCUCCUCAAGCAGCUCCCUGACCCCUCUAUAUCCAAAAGACUGUCAUUAGGCAGGCAUCAUCCUGGGACAAAGAGAGCAGAAAAAGAAACUGGUAGCAUCC
Non-coding RNA from Callithrix jacchus (white-tufted-ear marmoset), 13272 nucleotides. NCBI's taxonomy places the organism in Eukaryota, Metazoa, Chordata, Mammalia, Primates, Cebidae. The record is from RefSeq and is a predicted model, not a curated record.